Molecule: non-coding RNA, 769 nt
Filed under: Anthonomus pomorum (apple weevil)
Lineage: Eukaryota; Metazoa; Arthropoda; Insecta; Coleoptera; Curculionidae
Source: RNAcentral
UAGAGGUUUUUUAGCCUCCAAUUUUUGUACAAAUUUAUUUUACAUGUAAAAUUUAGUUCGAAAAAAUUUAAUUUUAAAAAAAGAAUUUACAUUGAUUUACAGUAGUAAAAUUUAUUAAUUUAGGAAAUUAAGAAAUAGUAAAUUUUAAAGUUUAAACAAAAUUUGUGCCAGCAGUUGCGGUUACACAAAUUAGGCAAUAAAAAUUUUUUAGUGACAGUUAAUUGUAAACCCGAAAUUUAUAGAAGAAUUUUUUAAGUGAAAUUUUAAGUUCUUUUAAAUUUGGAUUUAGUUGAUGAAGCUGGGAAAAUUUCUAUAUAAACCAGGAUUAGAUACCCUAUUAUUGAAAAAGUAAAUUUUUUAACUAGGCUAGUAACAGAUAAGUUCUUAAAAAUCAAAAAAGAUGGCGGUAUUUUAGUCUAUUCAGAGGAACCUGUUCUAUGAUUGAUGAUCCACGAUUUGAAUUACUUGAUUUUUUAGUUUUCAUAUCGUUGUAGUUUGAAUAUUUUUAUAGAAUAAAUAUUCUUGAUUCCUAGCGGAAAUAAAUCAAAUCAAGAUGUAGCCAAUAAUUAAGCAGAAAUGGGUUACAAUAAAUUUAUUUAUAUGAAUAAAUUUUUUAAAAGAAAUUUUGAAGGUGAAUUUGAUAGUAAUUUUUUAAAAAUUUUAAGUAUGAUUUAGCUCUAAAAUAUGUACAUAUCGCCCGUCGCUUUCGUUUUUAAAAUGAAAUAAGUCGUAACAAAGUAGAGGUACUGGAAAGUGUCUCUAGAAGUCA